UCGAGAAUUUUCUCAAUGGGCGAAGGCCUGAAGGAGCGACGCCGCGUGGGGGAUGAAUGGCUUCGGCCCGUAAACCCUGCUCAUUCGGGAGCAAUGCCUUUCACUUAACACGUGGAAGGUUGAUAGUACCGGAAGAGGAAGGGACGGCUAACUCUGUGCCAGCAGCCGCGGUAAUACAGAGGUCCCAAGCGUUGUUCGGAUUCACUGGGCGUAAAGGGUGCGUAGGUGGUAGGGCAAGUCUGGCGUGAAAUCUCCGAGCCUAACUCGGAAACUGCGUCGGAAACUGCCCAACUAGAGGAUUGGAGGGGAGACUGGAAUACUUGGUGUAGCAGUGAAAUGCGUAGAUAUCAAGUGGAACACCAGUGGCGAAGGCGAGUCUCUGGACAAUUCCUGACACUGAGGCACGAAAGCUAGGGGAGCAAA
This 423-nucleotide ribosomal RNA is filed under the name uncultured bacterium. Its description in RNAcentral is "bacterial SSU rRNA". It matches the Rfam family "Bacterial small subunit ribosomal RNA", at positions 355 to 772 of the family's 1533-position model. The record is from RNAcentral.